Non-coding RNA from Acanthosepion pharaonis, 111 nucleotides. The record is from the annotation of a GenBank genome assembly. Lineage: Eukaryota; Metazoa; Mollusca; Cephalopoda; Sepiida; Sepiidae.
UUACGGCCAUAUGACUUUGAAACACUGGUGCUCGUACGAUCACCAAAGUUAAGCAACGACGAGCCUGGUCAGUACCUAGAGGAGUGACCGCUUAGGAAUACCAGGUGAAGU